RNA transcript from Tribolium castaneum (red flour beetle), 407 nucleotides. RefSeq lists it as uncharacterized. The record is from RefSeq and is a predicted model, not a curated record. The transcript is spliced from 2 exons. Lineage: Eukaryota; Metazoa; Arthropoda; Insecta; Coleoptera; Tenebrionidae.
GUAAAUUUGUUUAUGCGGUGUUAAUACUAAAAGGCAUAUAAAUAUGUGAUCUGCUGCAGUCUGAAGAGCAUCACAGAAGAAUAAAGUACUAGUGAUAGAGUCACGAAGUGAAGAAAAAAUGACCAAACAGAUAAUUCUGAUUUUUGCAAUUUGCAUCGUCUUUUAUGUCUUUUCGGCCAUUGCAUACCCUGCCCCUGACACAGUUUUUGAACCGGAAUUUGCGCUCCGGGAGCAUUCGGGAGAAAGACGACGAUUUAAUUUGAUCCCCGAUUAUGAUUUCGGCGAAGGCCAAGAUUUGCACCACUCUGACGACGGUUUCCCUACAGUUACAUAAGAAAAUCUAAUAAUAAAAAUAUUUAUUAUCUUAUUUUGUACAAUUUGAAUAUAAUAAAGUAACAAGAGGCAAA